CAAUUAUUGGUGUGGUUCUGGUCACACAUAACCAGUCUAGAAGCUGUGAAAAAUGAAGAGUGACCAAGUGAAUCCUAGGAAUUAAGGAACCGGUUGGAGCAAAAACAAGCAUCAGGAGUUAUUUGAGAACAUCGGCUGUAAACCUUGACUGCCCAGAAAAGACGCCCGCUGAAGGCAAUUGACCACCCACCUUCCGAUUGAACUAGUAUAAAAGGGAGACACCCUCAAAUGUCAGAUUCUCACUUGGACCCGAACUUCUGAGAAGUACGAAGCUCACCAGACCUUUCGAAGAAAGCAUUUACAGUAAUAGCCAUAGAGGCACCUGUUUACCUGGUUGGUACCCCAACACUUUGCAAGAGGAAUGAGUGUUCCUUCUAC
This is a long non-coding RNA of Polypterus senegalus (gray bichir), 378 nucleotides long. RefSeq lists it as uncharacterized. Lineage: Eukaryota; Metazoa; Chordata; Cladistia; Polypteriformes; Polypteridae. The record is from RefSeq and is a predicted model, not a curated record. The transcript has 3 exons.